CACGUAGGGGGCAAGCGUUGUCCGGAUUUAUUGGGCGUAAAGAGCUCGUAGGCGGUUUCGUAAGUCGGGUGUGAAAACUCUAGGCUCAACCUGGAGACGCCACCCGAUACUGCGAUGACUAGAGUCCGGUAGGGGAGUGUGGAAUUCCUGGUGUAGCGGUGAAAUGCGCAGAUAUCAGGAGGAACACCAACGGCGAAGGCAGCACUCUGGGCCGGAACUGACGCUGAGGAGCGAAAGCGUGGGUAGCGAACAGG
RNAcentral lists this ribosomal RNA (254 nucleotides) under uncultured bacterium. RNAcentral's name for it is "partial 16S ribosomal RNA". It matches the Rfam family "Bacterial small subunit ribosomal RNA", at positions 524 to 776 of the family's 1533-position model. RNAcentral also lists the same sequence under 2 other names. The record is from RNAcentral.